RNAcentral lists this long non-coding RNA (467 nucleotides) under Glycine max (soybean). RNAcentral describes it as "long non-coding RNA (GMAX_LNC003615)". Lineage: Eukaryota; Viridiplantae; Streptophyta; Magnoliopsida; Fabales; Fabaceae. The record is from RNAcentral.
GCAAUUCCAUUUCCUCCAUAAAACAAAACAAUGUCCUUGUCUCUUUUCUUCCUUCUCAUUCUCAUUUUCUCUUCUUCCACUUCCUCAAGCACCACCAUAAUCCUCCAAGGCAAUACCACUCUCAAGAGCCCCAACAACACCUUCCAAUUGGGCCUCUUCUCCUUCUCCUUUUCCUUCUACCUCGCCAUCCGCCACACCUCCCUCCCCUUCCCCAACACCACCUGGGUCGCCAACCGCCUCCACCCUUCCCCAACCCAAACCGGUUCAAUCCUCCACUUAACCCAAACCGGUUCAUUGAUCCUAACCCACUCCAACACCACUCUCUGGAGCACCGCCCCCACCUUCAACACCUCAUCAAACCUCUCCCUCAAGCUUCUCGACUCCGGUAACCUAAUCCUCUCUGCCCCCAACGGCCUCGUUCUAUGGCAGAGCUUCGAUUCCCCCACCGACACGUGGCUCCCCGGCAU